Molecule: unclassified non-coding RNA, 405 nt
Filed under: Carex firmula
Lineage: Eukaryota; Viridiplantae; Streptophyta; Magnoliopsida; Poales; Cyperaceae
Description: partial external transcribed spacer
Source: RNAcentral
GCUCGCGAUCGGUUGCCUGUGCGGUUCUACCCUCUUGCGGGUAGCGAGUUCGUCCCUCGAUGGAUAUUUGCUUGCCUUUCCGACGCACUGUCGUCCGGGCGGCCGAAUUGUUGGCGAAAUCCCUGUGUCGGUGCGCGGUCGGACGCCGCGUUGCUAUCGCUUGGAUUUCUGCCGGCUCUCACGGAUGCGGUGCCUAUUGCCAGCUCUGCGGGGCUCUGCCCCGCAGACUUCGGGAGGUCCCUCGCGCGCAUCACUGCUCUCAUACGCCGUCUGUCGUGUUGCCGGUGGCGACGCGCAGAUCGUGUUCUGCCGUGCUGUAGUUAACGACGCGCCAGAACAAAGUGUCCGGAGCGUGCUCGCGCGCGUGCGGACUGCCUCUCGUUCGUAUGAGCAGCGAUUUCCGGU